GAAGCUGUGGUUCAGUGAUAGAACAUCUGUUCAACAUUCAGAAGGUCCCAGGUUCAAUCACCAUCAUCUUUA
Molecule: transfer RNA, 72 nt
Filed under: Sphaerodactylus townsendi
Lineage: Eukaryota; Metazoa; Chordata; Lepidosauria; Squamata; Sphaerodactylidae
Description: tRNA-Val
Source: RNAcentral